ACGAACGCUGGCGGCGUGCUUAACCCCUGCAAGUCGAACGGAAAGGCCCUGCUUUUGUGGGGUGCUCGAGUGGCGAACGGGUGAGUAACACGUGAGUAACCUGCCCUUGACUUUGGGAUAACUUCAGGAAACUGGGGCUAAUACCGGAUAGGAGCUCCUGCUGCAUGGUGGGGGUUGGAAAGUUUCGGCGGUUGGGGAUGGACUCGCGGCUUAUCAGCUUGUUGGUGGGGUAGUGGCUUACCAAGGCUUUGACGGGUAGCCGGCCUGAGAGGGUGACCGGCCACAUUGGGACUGAGAUACGGCCCAGACUCCUACGGGAGGCAGCAGUGGGGAAUAUUGCACAAUGGGCGGAAGCCUGAUGCAGCAACGCCGCGUGCGGGAUGACGGCCUUCGGGUUGUAAACCGCUUUCGCCUGUGACGAAGCGUGAGUGACGGUAAUGGGUAAAGAAGCACCGGCUAACUACGUG
RNAcentral lists this ribosomal RNA (467 nucleotides) under uncultured bacterium. RNAcentral's name for it is "partial 16S ribosomal RNA". It matches the Rfam family "Bacterial small subunit ribosomal RNA", at positions 29 to 507 of the family's 1533-position model. The record is from RNAcentral.